GAUGAACGCUAGCUAUAGGGUUAACACAUGCAAGUCGAGGGGAAACGGCAUUAUGUGCUUGCACAUUUUGGACGUCGACCGGCGCACGGGUGAGUAUCGCGUAUCCAACCUGCCCUUUACUUGGGGAUACCCCGUUGAAAGACGGCCUAAUACCCGAUGUAAUUCAUUGAUGGCAUCAGAUAUGAAUAAAAGAUUUAUCGGUAAAGGAUGGGGAUGCGUCUGAUUAGCUUGUUGGUGAGGUAACGGCUCACCAAGGCGACGAUCAGUAGGGGUUCUGAGAGGAAGGUCCCCCACAUUGGAACUGAGACACGGUCCAAACUCCUACGGGAGGCAGCAGUGAGGAAUAUUGGUCAAUGGGCGCAAGCCUGAACCAGCCAAGUAGCGUGCAGGAAGACGGCCCUAUGGGUUGUAAACUGCUUUUAUACGAGAAUAAUUUGAUGCACGUGUGCGUUAUUGCAUGUAUCGUAUGAAUAAGGACCGGCUAAUUCCGUG
Molecule: ribosomal RNA, 492 nt
Filed under: uncultured bacterium
Lineage: Bacteria
Description: partial 16S ribosomal RNA
Rfam family: Bacterial small subunit ribosomal RNA
Source: RNAcentral